This 245-nucleotide ribosomal RNA is filed under the name uncultured bacterium. RNAcentral describes it as "partial 16S ribosomal RNA". It matches the Rfam family "Bacterial small subunit ribosomal RNA", at positions 335 to 573 of the family's 1533-position model. The record is from RNAcentral.
CACCUACGGGGGGCAGCAGUAGGGAAUCUUCCACAAUGGACGAAAGUCUGAUGGAGCAACGCCGCGUGAGUGAAGAAGGGUUUCGGCUCGUAAAGCUCUGUUGGUAGGGAAGAAAGAUAGAGGGAGUAACUGGCCUUUAUUUGACGGGAAUUACUUAGAAAGUCACGGCUAACUAAGUGGCAGCAGCCGCGGGAAUACGUAGGUGGCAAGCGGUGUCCGGCUUUAUUGGGCGUAAAGCGGGUGGA